RNAcentral lists this long non-coding RNA (1615 nucleotides) under Sus scrofa (pig). RNAcentral describes it as "lncRNA (ENSSSCG00005028741.1)". The record is from RNAcentral. Lineage: Eukaryota; Metazoa; Chordata; Mammalia; Artiodactyla; Suidae.
CCCCCCCAUUUUAGGCCUGCAAAUUUGGCAUAUGUAAGUUCCCAGGCCAGGGGUCCAAGUGGAACUGCAGCUGCCAGCCUACACCACAAGUCACAGCAACAUGGGAUCUGAGUCAAGACUGCGACCUACACCACAGCUCACGGCAACGCUGGAGCCGUAACCCACUGAGCGAGGCCAGGGAUAGAACCUGCGUCCUCAUGGAUACUAGUUGGGCUCAUUACCACUGCACCACAACGGGAACUCCCUUUUUUCUUUCUUUUAAAAAAUGUACCGGCUCUCAGUGCUGGGGCUACAGGGAGGUUCCCUCCAGCACGAGGACAGGGGGAGCCACAGUCUCCUUGGGGGAGUCAGGCCCCUCACCUUGCACGUGACAUAACUGAGCAUGCUCAAGCGCGCGCACAUGCACACUCACACACACGUGCGCUUACACAUAUGCACAUGCACACACACAGGUGCGCUGUGCCAUGAGGAUGCGGGAUUCCCCACAGGCCUGGGGGAAGCCCGCCCGCAGGGCCUAUUCCGCAGCCACGUCUACAAACACUGUGCAAACUGGCAGCAGGGGGUGCCUUUGGGCUGACGUGGGAACAUGAUCGAUGGCGAAGGUCAAAGGGGCCUUGGCAACAGCCCUAAAGCUGACCUUUUCCAUAAGGAGCAUCCAUCUACGUGAUCACUUGCAUGAGGAGACACCAGGCAAACACACACAGCACAUGCGGCCCCCCCGCCCGUCCCUGAAGCGCCAGCUCCGCCCCGGGCAGCAGCUCCCUCGGGGACACUCACCCAGGCCGCCUGGUCUCCAGCAGGGUCAGCAGCACCUGCGUCCCGCUGACGAGGCAGCCCUCGGUCUGGGCUCCGUCAAACAUGUUCCUCAGCAGCUGCUCCACACAGUCCUGCCUGGGGGACGCCUCGGGGUCAGGGCCUGGAGCAGCAGGCGCACAGUACCCGCCCCCCGCCCCCGCGGAGGAGCAGCACCCUGAGUCCCGGGGGGUGGGGAUCGGGGCGCAGGCCAGGCUCCCAGGGCUCUCAGACACUGCCGCUCAGGCCGGCCUGCCAGGAGACCCCCCCCCCACUGGGGGACACAGACCAGGGGUUCGUGGUGGCUCAGGUGAGCACGUCUCAGGCAGGGAGGGGGCUCAGAGCAGGGCCCCACGCAGCACUCACGACUCCAGCACCGUGAGGAGGGGGUCUGGCUCCGGAGCCUCCUGCCGCUGGCCGCCCUGCUCUCUGCCCAGCCUGACGAUGUCACAGAGCGUCUGGGACGCAUUGGACUGACUCUGCAAGGACGGAACGCAGAGCCUCCCUCAGAGACGCCGGACUCCGAGCUCCUUCGUACCAGAGAGGCCCGGCCGCCCUCCCUACAGGGUGUGGACCUGGUCAGACCCCAGAGCUCAAGCGGGGCCGCACGCAGACACUACUCCACCCCUCAAAGACGCACCACCUGCUGACUGUGUUACCCACACAGUAUUUUAAAUCAGUAGGUGGCUAUUAAGAUUCAGAAUGAGUCCUGCGAGGAGUUCCCAUUGGCUCAGUGGUUAAUGAACCCAACUAGGAUCCACGAGGACGCGGGUUUGAUCUCUCGCCUCGAUCAACAGGUCAAGGAUCCGGUGUUGCCGUGAGC